This 492-nucleotide ribosomal RNA is filed under the name uncultured bacterium. Its description in RNAcentral is "partial 16S ribosomal RNA". It matches the Rfam family "Bacterial small subunit ribosomal RNA", at positions 29 to 507 of the family's 1533-position model. The record is from RNAcentral.
AGUGAACGCUGGCGGUAGGCCUAACACAUGCAAGUCGAACGGCAGCACAGUAAGAGCUUGCUCUUACGGGUGGCGAGUGGCGGACGGGUGAGGAAUACAUCGGAAUCUACUUUUUCGUGGGGGAUAACGUAGGGAAACUUACGCUAAUACCGCAUACGACCUACGGGUGAAAGCAUGGGAUCUUCGGACCUUGCGCGAUUGAAUGAGCCGAUGUCAGAUUAGCUAGUUGGCGGGGUAAAGGCCCACCAAGGCGACGAUCCGUAGCUGGUCUGAGAGGAUGAUCAGCCACACUGGAACUGAGACACGGUCCAGACUCCUACGGGAGGCAGCAGUGGGGAAUAUUGGACAAUGGGCGCAAGCCUGAUCCAGCCAUACCGCGUGGAUGAGGAAGGCCUUCGGGUUGUAAAGCCCUUUUGUUGGGAAAGAAAAGCAGCAGGUUAAUACCCCGCUGUUCUGACGGUACCCAAAGAAUAAGCACCGGCUAACUUCGUG